AUAACGAUCCGGAAACGGGUGCUAAUACCGCAUAGUUUCUUGAUCGCAUGAUCGGGAAAGGAAAGACGGUCUUUGUGCUGUCGCUUAUGGAUGGACCCGCGGCGUAUUAGUUAGUUGGUGAGGUAACGGCUCACCAAGACGAUGAUACGUAGCCGACCUGAGAGGGUGAUCGGCCACAUUGGGACUGAGACACGGCCCAAACUCCUACGGGAGGCAGCAGUAGGGAAUCUUCCGCAAUGGACGAAAGUCUGACGGAGCAACGCCGCGUGAGUGAAGAAAGGUUUUCGGAUCGUAAAACUCUGUUGUCAGAGAAGACAAGUUGGAGUAGUUAACUGCUCCAGCCUUGACGGUAUCUGACCAGAAAGCCACGGCUAACUACGUGCCAGCCGCAGC
Molecule: ribosomal RNA, 393 nt
Filed under: uncultured bacterium
Lineage: Bacteria
Description: bacterial SSU rRNA
Rfam family: Bacterial small subunit ribosomal RNA
Source: RNAcentral